UGAGGAUGAUGGUUUUGAUAGUGAUAGC
Molecule: non-coding RNA, 28 nt
Filed under: Homo sapiens (human)
Lineage: Eukaryota; Metazoa; Chordata; Mammalia; Primates; Hominidae
Source: RNAcentral